UACGAAGGGUGCAAGCGUUGUUCGGAUUUAUUGGGCGUAAAGGGCAUGUAGGCGGAUAUGAUAAGUCAGGUGUGAAAUCUCAGGGCCUAACCCUGAAACUGCGCCUGAAACUGGAUAUCUAGAAUCCCAUAGAGGAAAAGGGAAUUUCUCAUGUAGGAGUAAAAUCCGUAGAGAUGAGAAGGAACAUCAGAGGCGAAGGCGCUUUUCUGGAUGGAGAUUGACGCUAAGGUGCGAAAGCGUGGGGAGCAAACAGG
RNAcentral lists this ribosomal RNA (254 nucleotides) under uncultured bacterium. Its description in RNAcentral is "partial 16S ribosomal RNA". It matches the Rfam family "Bacterial small subunit ribosomal RNA", at positions 524 to 776 of the family's 1533-position model. The record is from RNAcentral.